RNAcentral lists this ribosomal RNA (434 nucleotides) under uncultured Oscillospiraceae bacterium. Its description in RNAcentral is "partial 16S ribosomal RNA". It matches the Rfam family "Bacterial small subunit ribosomal RNA", at positions 341 to 792 of the family's 1533-position model. Lineage: Bacteria; Bacillati; Bacillota; Clostridia; Eubacteriales; Oscillospiraceae. The record is from RNAcentral.
ACGGGAGGCAGCAGUGGGGGAUAUUGCACAAUGGAGGAAACUCUGAUGCAGCAACGCCGCGUGAAGGAAGAAGGCCUUCGGGUUGUAAACUUCUUUACUUGGUGACGAUAAUGACGGUAGCCAGGGAGGAAGCCACGGCUCACUACGUGCCAGCAGCCGCGGUAAUACGUAGGUGGCAAGCGUUGUCCGGAAUGACUGGGUGUAAAGGGUGCGUAGGCGGCUCAUAAAGUCAGAUGUGAAAUACCGAGGCUUAACCUCGGAGCUGCAUUUGAAACUUAUGGGCUUGAGUGAAGUAGAGGUAAGCGGAAUUCCUAGUGUAGCGGUGAAAUGCGUAGAUAUUAGGAGGAACACCAGUGGCGAAGGCGGCUUACUGGGCUUUAACUGACGCUGAGGCACGAAAGCAUGGGUAGCAAACAGGAUUAGAUACCCUGGUA